GUCCCCCCCCCCCCCCCCCCCGCCGCGGUGGACAGACCUUUGACCUUCAAGAAUGCAAGCAGGAAGCUCCACUAGGGGGCUGAUUUCGGUGGCCAAGGAGUAAACUGGUGACUUGUGAUAAAUGGAAGUGCUCAGAACGUGAGAUUCAAGAGAUUAUACAUACAUAUACGCACAUGGAUAUACAUAUAUCCAUACAUAUAGACACAUAGCCAUAUACAUGACAGAGAAAGAGAAAGUCACUGCCCAGAUCUUAACAGCAGCUGAGACUGGGUCAGGCCAAAGCUGGAAGCUCCGAACGCACCCAGAUCUCUCGCUUGGCUGGAAGGGACUCAACUGCUGGAGCCAUCACCUGCUGCCUCCCCAGGUGCCGCCGCAGCGGGAAACGGGAACAGGAGGCCAAUGGAGAGGCAAAGACAGGCACUCUGAGAUGGGGGGCAGACAUCCCAGUUGGUGUCUUAACCAUUAGGCCAAACGCCUCCACUAUAUUUGAAGUACAGCCAACCAGCUUCGUUGAGUGACCGGAAGCAUGGUAUGGUAAGAAAAAAGAGAUCAAAGAUGACAGUCCCCACCCCCCCCAAGCAACCAGAUAAUGUUUGGUUUUCUGUUAUACUUUCCCUUACCAAGUUAAUGAAAAAGAUUUCCUCAGAAGAUGGAAAAAAGAAAUAAGUAUGAGGGUACUUCAAAAAGUUCGUGGAAAAUUGAAAUUAAAAGAUAAGUCCAUUUUGUGCAGAAAAAGAAAUCCAUACAUAAUUUUUCAUUAUACACAUUUUCCUUGACCUUUUGAAGACUUCUCAUAUGCAUAGAUUUAAGAAACUGUUUGCCCCAUAGUAAACUUAUCUUUUUUUAAAAAAUCCAUAUUUGAAGGCAGAGAGAGAGCUUCCAUCUGCUGGUUCACUCCCCAGGUGGUGGCAACAGCUGCAGCUAGUCCAGGCCGGAGCCAGGAGCCAGGAGCGCCACCUCAGUCUCCCACAUGGGUGGCAGGGGCCGGAGCGCUUGGGCCAUCUGCUGCUGCUUUACCAGGUUUUUCUGCUCUUCUCCAAUCCUUUAAAGAAACAGGAAGAAAGAGGCCAGUCCCGAAAAGGGGGAGGUGCUGGCCCCGGCCCAGGAGCUUCCCUCUGGUCUCUGCAGGAAACGUGAAGAGGGUCUGAGUUGCAGAUGAAGACAGGCAAGAAAAUUGUGUGUCUGGAAUCUGACGGUCCUCUGUGGCCCCCCUUUACCCAGCAACCGUGCAGUAAUGCUGUGUCAGGAAAGUUGCUUUUGGCUGUCUCAUUGGUUCACUUAUUUGUAAAGGCUUCAGUAUGAGCAUUCAAUGAUGCACAGUUUUAGACACAACCGUGUUACUAGUUAUUCGCAAUUGAUUAAACCACAGCCAUUGACGGGCAUGCGAAGAGCCCUGUGAUCCACGGCUCCUUACUCCUGCCAGGCCUACGGACUGAAUCCUCUGCUCCCUGGACUGACAUGAGAGGCUGUCGCCUGGAUUGUAGGCAUGCCGCUCCUGCAUCUGCUUUCGUGAAAACAUUGUGGCACCGGUCGCCUAAUGUCCCGCCUGUGAGAAACCCUUCUGUCUUUUUAGCAAAGAGUUUGGUGUCAGGAACAAGUGUGUCUUUUGAAGAACCGAAGAGUGCCUGGCAAGCGUAGAUGGUUUCUAGAGUUCCCUGAUGAAUGAAGGAGAAGGAGUGUGCCAGGUUCGGGGUGAGGGAAGGGGCACAGGGCUUCAUUUCAAAAAUGGGGUACCAUGUGACACGCUAUGCUUUCUGCUUUGCUGGGUUGCUGGAAGUCUAGUGUUAAGUUAAUGCUCAAUGCAAUGACUGCUUUAUCCCUCCUUCCAGUCUCAGCUAUUGGCCUCCUUCCCAGAGGCUCAUUCAUUUACUUCUUAGCAUCGUAUUCUACAUGCAUUUUCAUGAGCAACAGCUUCUGACUGUUGUAGGGGGCAGAACAGGGUAACGUAAGAGUUCUGGAGUCAGACGCAAGGUGGGCAAGCUGGCUGAUCUUUGGGCAAGUGGUCCUGUGCUGUGUGUCCUGUUAAAUGGAAAUGCUCAGAGGCUUAGGAAGAGCUUCCCAUGAUUUGUGUAUGCCUUAUGAUUAAACCGUUUCUUAUUAUUAUAUUUAUUUUAUUAUUCUUUUUUAUUAUCCCAGAAUCGCUCCAAAUAAUAAUAAAAGAGGACAUUUAAAUAAUGCUUACAUGGGGCCAGUGUUGUGGUGCAUCAGGAUAAGCUGCCUCUGGUGUCGCCAGUUUCAGGGCCCCAGUCUGUGUCCCGGCUGCUCCAGUUCUGAUUCAGUUUCCCGUUGUGUUAGCUAAAUCCCUGCUGGCUCCCGAGUACAUGGGCCCCUGCCACCCACCUGGGAGACCCAGGUGGAGUUCCAGGCUCCCAACUUUGGCCUGGCCCAAUUCCAUUUAGAGAGUGAACCAAUGGAUAGUAGAUCUCUCUUUAUCUGUCCCUCCCUCUCUCUGUCACUCUGCCUUUUGAAUACGUACAUACAUAUACGCAUACAUACAUGCAUAACAUACAUAAACAAUGCUUACCAUGUCUUAGGCAUGUUUUUCAGCACUUCAUACACUAGCUAAGGCAAACAUGUUUCUUAUGUUCAUUGAUGGAAACAUAAUCCUUCAACCCUCUGAGCUGGGACUACCAUUUUCUCUAAUUUACAAAUGAGACAGUUGAAACCUGGAGAGGUCAAGUUACUGGUCCAAGUCUAGAAAGAUGGGGAGUGGGAGAGCCGGAUUCAGCCCCCAGCUGCCCAAGCCCCAGAGUGGUUUAUGCUCUUUCUGGUGCAUUCUGCUUCCUUACUCCAGCCAGCUCAUACUGAGCGCUCACUAAACACUGGGCUCUGUGACAAGGGCUGCACCUGCAGCAUCUCAUUUAAUCCUUCCAACAACGAGGUAUACUAGCUCCGUUUCACUGACGAAGCCACAGGAGGCUCAAAGCUCACCCAGCUACUAAGUGACAAAGCAGAGCUUCCAAUCAAAGACUGCUAAACACCCAAAGGCCGCAGGUGCCAUCCCAUACUCUUAGCACACUCACUGCCCUCUGACCCUCUGCUUUGUGUGUAACAUAUAUUAGUCCAUUUGCCAUUGCUCUAACAAAAUACCUGUGCAAUGUAUAAAGAAGCAAGGUUUAUUUAGCCCAGAGCUCUAAAGGUCCAACAACAUGAUGCUAGCAUCUAGUGAAGCUCUAGUGGGGCCUCACAGUGGGUGCUGUCAGGGACGGCAGACUGGAAGCAGAAGGUGCCACACGGCGAGGGGUAGGCAUUGCAGGUGGUUAAGAUACUGUUUGGCCUCAUUUGAGCCCUGGCUCUGCUACUUCCAAUCCAGCUUCCUGCUAAUGUGCACCCUGGGAGGCAGCAGUGAUGGCUCAGAGACUUAGAGGGCUGCCACCCACAAAGGAGUUCCGGGCUCCUGGCUUUGGCCUGGUCCAACCCUGGCUGAUAUCAGAGGGUAAACCAGCACAUGAAGAUCUCUCUCUCUCUCCCUCUUGCUCUUGCUCUAGAUUUCCAGCAUAUGAAAUAUAUAUGCAUAUAUAUGUACACACACAUAUGCAUAUACACAAAGUGAACUUCCCAUUGUUUCUGGUCUGUAGGUCCUAGUGAGCUAGUUUGUCCUGAACACUCAGGAUCUGUCAUCAGAUUGAUGUCACAGCAUCUUGGACCUAAAAGAGAUCUCACAGUGGGGUGGGCCCUCCCUGGUGCUCCUUCCUGCACCUGUCUUCACCUCCAGGAGACAGACACCAAUGGUGGCAGGUGCUUCCCUCGCCUGCUCAUGCAUGAGGAUCCCACAGCUCUGUUGACAUAACAAUCCCUUAUGGAAACAGGUUAGCCCUUAAGAGGAAUACUAGGCCUCACACAUAGAUUUACAUCUUGCUCCACAGUGUCAACAAUUUCACCUUGCGUGAACCUGAAGCAAAUAUCAUUCCAAGUCCUGUUGCGGCUGCCCUGGUUUCCCUACAGCAAGGGUCGUGAGACACAACAGACAUCUGGGAAGUGCCAUGGACUCUUCCAUUUGGUGCAUUGUCUUCACUGGUUUAAUUUUAGUCAAGAUGAAUAUGUAUAAGGACUUUGGUGGCUUCGUUCAUUAUUUCAUUUCCUUUUCACACAAGAUCUUCUGUUCCUCAGCCAUGAAUUCUAUUAGCCCUGAAUUCCAUGGGAUGUAGCUAUCAUGGUAAAAAAUGGAAUAAUGUAUAAAUCUCAACAACAAAUCUUUUCAUUUGCAGAUGAUUUCAUGUUUGAUCUUCACAGUAGAGCCAAUGGUAUUUUUUUCAAAUGGUAUCUUCAGGAUAAUAAGGGAUAUGUUUUAUUGUCUGAGCAUUCUCAUUUAUAGGAGGUAAUAAAGUAAAGCUGAUUAAAACGGAAUGAAAUUCUGAUACAUGCUGCAACAUGAACCUUGCAAAUUUCACGCUAAGUCAAAGAAGCCAGACAUAGGGCAAAUAUGAGUCUUGUAUGAUGCCAUUUUGUAUGAGAUUCAUACAGUAGUCAAAUCCAUAGAGACAGAAAGUAGAAUAGUGGCUACCAGGGGCUGGAGUGAGGAGAGAAUGGGAGUUGUUUAAUGGCUAUGUUAUUUCAGUUUGAGAUGAUAAAAAAGUUCUACAGAUAGGUGGUGAUGAUGAUUCUAAAAUAAUUUAAAUAUACUUAAUGCCACAGAACUGUACACUUAAUAAUAGUCAAAAUAGGGGGCAGGCAUUUGGUCUACUAGUUAAGGCAUCCAUGUCCCACAUCAGAACACUACCUUCAGCUUCCGACUCUGGGAGGCUGUGGUAAUCGAUCAAGCACUGGGGUUCCUGCCACCCAUGUGAGAGAAUUGGAUUGCAUUCCCAGCUCCUAGCUUUGGUUCCCUGCAGGAGCUGGUGAGUGAAACACCUGCCACCAUUGGUGUCUGUCUCCUGGAGGUGAAGACAGGUGCAGGAAGGAGCACCAGGGAGGGCCCACCCUACUGUGAGAUCUCUUUUAGGUCCAAGAUGCUGUGACAUGUGUCGCUCCCCCAUCUCACAGAGGAACGACACUAAACCCUGCGCUGUUCUUUCGCCUGCUUGGCCCUUCCCGGGUUUGCUGCUGGUCCUUCCCGGGUUGGCUGCCGACCCCUCCACCUCCGUGGAGGGGCGGCCCCCCUGCCACUUUCCCCGCUUCCGUGGAGGAGCGGCACACCGCCAGCCAGCUCUCUCGGGGGCUGCUCAGAUGUUCCUUCAGAUGUUCCUGGUGCAUGUUGUCUCUCUCCUCCUUUAUAGUCCUCUUCCACCAAUCCCAACUCUGCUGCCCACACGCUGAGCACUCUGCUCUCCAAUUAGGAGCAGGAUCAGCUCCUGCAGCUCAUCAGUCAAAUUAGCGAGAGGCAGCUGCGUAGAAGUUUACUCCUCCCCAGCGCCAUAUUGUGGGAGAGCAGAUGCAUAGAAUAAGUCUUAAUUCCAGUAACUUAGUCUAGUCUCAGUUGCUCCCCAAAACAUGAAUCUGAUGACAGAUCCUGAGCGUUCAGGACAAACUAGCUCACUAGUACCUACAGACCAGAAACAAUGGGAAGUUCACUUUUUGUGUGUGUAUGUGUGCGUAUGUAUACAUAUAUAUAUAUAAAUAUGUAUAUUUCAUAUGCUGGAAAUCUAGAGCAAGAGCAAGAGGGAGAGAGAGAGAGAUCUUCCAUGUGCUGGUUUACCCUCUGACAUCAGCCAGGGUUGGAUUAGGUUGAAGUCAGGAGCCAGGAACUCCAUUCAUUCUGCCACAUGGGUGGCAGGGGCCCAAAUACUUGAGCCACCAUCUGCUGCCUCCCAGGCACAUUAGCAGGAAGCUGGAUUGGAAGUGGAACAGUCAGGACUUGAACCAGGCACUCAGAUAUGGGAUGUGGAUGGGCAUCCCAAGUAGCAGCCUAACCUGCUGUGCCACAGUGCUUGCCCCAGUCAACUUCUUUGAAGUAUAGGUCACUCAAAAGUUUUUCAAGAAAACCUCAGUGUUUCAGGCUACCAAUCAAAGACCUGAAUGACUAAGGCCUUACUAAAGCAGCUCAGCUGCUGGGAAAGCCAGGAGUUUCAAUGUGUCCUUGCUGUUGUCACUUAAGUUCUUCAAGAAGCAAACUCUGAUACAAAGUACAGCAUUGUGGAUAUGUGCUGGGAGAACCCUCAGGAGCAAUACCUGGGAGAAGGAAAGGAAGGAACCAGGAGUAGACAGGAGAUGUCAAGUUGUGAUGUGGGCCCAGCAUCCUCCACUGCUCCCACCAGGCACUCCAGGGCUGAAGUGGCCCCUCAGGGUUGUCCUGCCUUGACUCAGAAUGCGUAGGCCUCCAUACUGGGUGGGAGCUGCCCCUGGCAGGGGCUGGCCUUGGAGAGGCUGUCUCUCCACCACCAAGACAGUCUCUUAUAGGGUCAUCAACUGUCUACUGAGAGCUCCUGCCCCAGCUGGGGGCCCCAGCCCCUCCUGAAGGGGAUACGCAGGUGCCCCACCCACCAGAGUUACCUAUGAGACAAUUUUCCUUCAGUUAAAACUUCUUGUUAAGUAUCUCUAAGGGUGACACUUUAAAGGGAGCAGAGAAUGGGGGCCUGCACUGUGGCAUAGUAGGCUAAGCCUCUACCUGCAGUGCUGGCAUCCCAUAUGGGCAACGGUUCAAGUCCCGCCUGCUCCACUUCUGAUCCAACUCUCUGCUAUGGCCUGGGAAAGUAGUAGAUGAUGGCCCAAGUCUUUGGGCCCUUGUGCCCACAGGGGAAACCUGGAGGAAGCUCCUGGUUCCUAGCUUUGGACCAGCAAAGCUCCAGCCAUUGUAGCCAUCUGGGGAGUGAACCAGCAGAUGGAAGACCUCUCCUUCUCUCUGCCUCUGCCUCUCUGUAACGCUGCCUUUCAAAUAAGUAAAAUGAAUCUUUUAAAAAAAGCCACAUUAGAAUAAUAUUUCUCCAUAUCAUUAUGGCUUCAAUUGUACACAAUUAGAUUCAAGUGAAUAAUUGAGUUUCAUUUUCUUUAAAUUAAGCCAGGUGGAGAAAAGGGGAGAGAGUAUGCUACCAUUUCUCCAUGAAAGAUAUUUGCUUAAAUUAAGAAAACUGGUGGAUAAACCAUUAAAAAGAUUACUUAUGGGGGCAGGAGGAAAUAGUAUGUAGGGAAAAAGAACAGGGACUUCACUUUUUAAUAGGUUGGACUUUAGAACUGUGUUUGCAUUUUACAAUUUAAGUAAAUAUUGAGGCCGGCGCCGCGGCUCACCAGGCUAAUCCUCCGCCUUGCAGCACCGGCACACCGGGUUCUAGUCCUGGUCAGGGCGCCGGAUUCUGUCCCGGUUGCCCCUCUUCCAGGCCAGCUCUCUGCUGUGGCCCGGGAGUGCAGUGGAGGAUGGCCCAAGUGCUUGAGCCCUGCACCCCAUGGGAGACCAGGAGAAGCGCCUGGCUCCUGCCAUUGGAUCAGCGCGGUGCGCCGGCUGCAGCGCAUCAGCCACAGCGGCCAUUGGAGGGUGAACCAAUGGCAAAGGAAGACCUUUCUCUCUGUCUCUCUCUCACUGUCCACUCUGCCUGUCAAAAAAUAAAAAAGAUAAUAUUGAAUUAAUUUUUAUAAAGAUUUAUUUAUUUGAAAGGCAGAGUUACAGAGAGACAGAGGCAGAGAGGAAGAGAGAGAGACAGAAAGAGAGAGAGAGAGAGAGAUCAUCCAUCUACUGGUUCACUCCCCAGAUGGCUGCAACGGCCGGAGUUGUGCCAAUCUGAAGGCAGGAUCCAGGAGCUUCCUCCAGGUCUCCCACACAGAUGCAGGGAUCCAUGGACCUGGACCAUCCUCCACUGCUUUCUCAAGCCAUAGCAGAGAGCAGGAUUGGAAGUAGAGCAGCCGGGACUUGAACUGGUGCCUAGAUGGGAUGCUGGCACUGCAGGUGGUGGCUUUAUCUGCUAUGCCACAGUGCCGGCCCCAAUAUUGAAUUAAUUUAAAAACAAUCUCUAAAACUCAAAAGAGUAUAACUUGUGAAGGCUGCUUCUGCCACUUCAGAAAUGAGAAGCCCUCAGUAGGUUACAUAACCCUGACAAACCUCAGCUGGCUCUCCUCUAAAACUGGGAUUCUUGUGGCAGGCGCUUGGUCUAGGUGUUAAGACUCAUACCAUAUCAGAGUGCCUGGGUCCAACACCUGGCUCAGAUCCUGACGCCAGCUUCCUGCUAAUGCGUACGUUGGAGGCAGUGGCAAUGGCUCAGGUGAUUGGGUUCCUGUCACCCAGGUGGGAGACCUGCAUUGAGUUUUCAGCUCCCUGCUUCAGCCCCAGAUGGGGACCAUUGUGAAUAUUUGAGGAAUGAACCAGCAAGUGCAAGCUCUCUUUCUCUCUGCCUAUUAAAUAAGUAAACAAAAAAACUUUUUAAGAUUUUACUUAUUUAUUUGAGAGAUUGAGUCACAGAGAGAGAGAGAGAGAGAGACAGAAAGAAAUGUCCUCCAUCCACUGGUUCACUCUGCAAAUGGUCGCAAUGGUCAGAGUUGGGCCAAUCAGAAGCCAGGAGCCAGGAGCCCCCUCUGGGCUUUCCACAUGGGUGCAGGGGGCCAAACACCAAGGCUGUCCUCCCCUGCCUUCCCAGGUCACAGCAGACAGCCGAUCAAAAGAGGAGCAGCAGAGACUAGAACCAAUAACCAUAUGCAAGUGGAGGCCCAGCCCACUACACCACAAUGCAGGCCCCCUAACAAACAACAUUUUAAAAAUAAUAAAAUUAGAAUAAUAAUAAUGAUGCCCUCAUUGGGUUAGUACAAAGAUGAAACAAUGCACACUAAACAUAGUUGACGCAGUGCCUGCCAUGAAGCAAUUGUGCAAAGUAUAUGUGCUAUUAUUUGUAACUCCAGAGCUUAAAAUAAUCUGUAAGCAAGAAUUCAUUUUUAUAGCAAGAUUCUCCCUGAGAUCCUUUUAAAAACUGAAAAUCUGGGACCGGUGCUGUGGCGUAGCAGGUUAAGCCACUGCCUGUGACACUGACAUCCCACAUGGGUGCCAGUUUGUGUCCCAGCUGCUCCACUUCCAAUCCAGUUCCCUACUAAAGUGCCUGGAAAAACAGCAGAAGAUAGCUAAAGUGCUUGGGCCCCUGCACCCGCAUCAGCAAUCUGGAAGAAGCUUCUGGCUCCUGGCUUCAGCCUGGCCCAGUCAUGCUGGUUUGGCCUUACAGGGAGAGAACCAGAGAAUGGAAGAUUCUCUCUCUCUCUCUCUUUCUCUGUCUCUCUUCCUCUCUCAUCUCUCCCUCUCUGUAACUCUGCAUUUCAAAUAAAUUUUAAAAACUUUAUAUAUAAAAAAGACUUGAGAUCCCUCAAUAUAUUUAAAUACUUCAUCAUAACAAAUUAAAUUUUUCAGAAAUGUGUCUUCUCCAGCCUUGAGAGGGUGAGUGGAGAUCUCUGCCAGCCUGGCCUAGAGCCCUGCUUGGGGUAGAUUCCACCUCACUCCAGUUAAGGGGAGACAAAAGAGCUUUCUGCGUCUUUGAGUGGAAAGAAGCUUCUAGAACCUCACACAUAACGGACAAGGGCUUUCCUUGAUAGAGAGAAUGAGACUUGGCUGGAAAGAACUUCCCUCUCUCCAAGGGCCUGGCCCUAGCUGGGUCUUGCCUGGCCCACCAAGGAAGCCAGUCUUCCCUCGAACCUGUUUCUUGUCUGUUACUCAGGUGCUGAUGAAUGUUGCCUCUUCCUGUCGAGCUCUAAGGGGCUCCAUAUGUAGUUGGCAGGGACCCCCCUAUACCAAAGUGUCUAGUACUCACUGAGCCAAGUACCAAAGUGAAUUCGAGCCACAUGUAGAUGUUUUACUAAACCCAGACUCAAUGGGACUAGAUUCAACUCAUGCUCCCUUUACUUGGCUCACCCCAAAACCAUGUGCAUAGGGAAAGUAUCAUGGAGGGGAAGUCCUAGUAGAAAGAGACAGUAGCUAUAACCAGUUCCAGGUAAAAUAUGGAACUUUAAAAAACUUGUGAAAAGCACAUGGCCAUGUUAGCAGGUUGGGGACCUUCCUGUGGCCUUGGAAGGGGCCUGCAAAUAUGGGUGCUUUUUUAAAAUUUAUUUCUCCCUCAAAGAAACCUUUCAUUUAAGGAGUACAGACUUCAUGCAUUUCCUAAGUACAACUUUAGGAAUAUAGUGAUUCUUCCCACCAUACCCACCCUCUCACCCACUCUCCCACUCUUCCUCCUCCUCCCUCUCCCAUUCCCAGUCCCAUUCCCCACUAAGAUCCAUUUUUGAUUAACUUUGUACACAGAAGAACAACUCUUAUAUUAAGUAAAGAUUUCAACAAUUAUGUGGGCACUUUCAGUUUAAGCGUUGUUGGCUUCGUGGUCAAUCUGUCUCGGCCUAUCAGGAAAGCUCGGGUUUCAGAAGGAUUUUCUUGGAAAUCCUUUUAUAGAAUAGAGUCUCAGUUCUCAGUUUAUUAGCCUGUGGGUUGAAGUAUUUCCAUGUGUAGUUUUCUAAAAACGGAGACAUACUUGCCUCCAAGAGCUAAAAAGUAUGUGUGAUGGCUGACUGGGCCAAGGGGUCUGGCAGCACCAACUGCUUCCAGAAUAGCUUUGCAGUGCAAUCGCCAAGGCAGGACAUGGCCUAGGAGGCCAUGUCUGAGAAAGGAGACAGCACCCUAUGGUGGAGAUGUACCCCAGACACAGAGUGAGGGGCCACUAGUGACCUCAGCAGUUAAGAAGGUCAUCAGGGCCAGAUGGAAGCUUCCAGAACAGCCGCUCCCUACAAAACUCCACACCACACUGCCUCAUUCCAUCUCCUGCAUCCUGCAAUCCCCCCACCCCUGCCCCUUGCCAGAGCUGUAUCUACACUGGACAGGUUGAGUUGCACAAGUUUGAAUGUGUUCCCGUUACAGCCUUAUUACUGACAUCCCCUCUCUUGAAAUGCUGUUCACCACUGGAUCCUUAGUCUCCUGGGAGUGUAAGAACACCUGCCCCCCCAACCCCCAUCCCACAGCCUGUAUAGGUGAAGACUAUUCCUGCAAAUUACUCACCCCAAGGCUGGGACCAGCCUUCGGUUUUGUAUUUUGAUAAACGGCUAAAAGUUUAGCUUACAUUGAAUCAGUUAAAGCCAUAGCAUUCUAAUGUCAGCUAAUAUAAAAGGCAACUGAUUUGAAAAUCAAUGAUUUCAGGAAACAGGAAAUGACUAAUGAAUUAAUUGGAAAUUUUUAUUAGAAUUAAUGAAGCUUUCAGAACUACCCUUGUGAGUCCUGUAACAAACUCCUUUUUGUUCAGAUUUUCAGAGCCGCCCCAGAACAUGGCCCGAAGUUCCUUAGAUGCAUAUCUCAGUAAUGAACAGGAGGCUUGAAUAAUGUUCCCUGCUUCUGCAACAGAACUGACUGCUUUUCGAGAGGGAAAGUGCAUUCGCUUACAAAAUAACAGCCACCACCAUUUCCCUUUCCCAUGAUUCCCUUCCCUCCAAACAGAAACACAGCCUGGAAGAACAAAUGAGUUGGGUGGACUCUUUAUGGCAUCCUGUGGUUGUGCCUCUGUUGUGAGACACAAAGGACGUUCAGGAGGAACCAGUGAGAUUGUGUCUAUAUUAUCACAAGGCAGGAAUACAACACAGUGUGCGCAGAGCGAGACUGGCAGGUACACAGGUUGCAGCAAGGGGCCAGGUCAUGAUACAUCUAUGUGAUUAUUUUCAAUAAUUGUUUGCCCUCUAGGUUGUAACUUCACAUGGGCAUGACUGAUUUUUUCUAGUUUACUAUGUCCCUGGACUCUAGCACAUAACAGAUGCCAAAAAUAUGUGCUGAAUAAAACCAUUAAGAUCCCAGAUGGUAAUUAAAUACAUAACUAAGGCUCACAUUUUAAAAACUGAGAUUUUAGUAGGAAUGAAAAUGCAUUGUUUUUUUUUUUUUUGAUAAGUUUUUGUUUUGAAAUCAUUUCAAACUUUUAAAAAAGUUUCAAAAGUCAUAGCAAGAAUUAUUGGAUACCCACCAACCAUAUCUCCAAAUCUUAACAUUUGCCAAUUUGCUUUUAUGGAUUUGAAAGCAGCUUCUAGACAUGAUGUCCUUUUACUGCUAAAUAUUUCAGUAUGUAGUUCCUAAGAGCAAAGACAUUUUCUGAAAUAACCACCAUACAGGUGUCAAAAUCAGGGGAUUAACAGUAAGACAAUGCGGGCUGGCGCCACGGCUCAAUAGGCUAAUCCUCCACCUGCGGCGCCAGCACCCCAGGUUCUAGUCCCGGUUGGGGCGCCGGAUUCUGUCCCGAUUGCCCCUCUUCCAGGACAGCUCUCUGCUGUGGUCUGGCAAGGCAGUGGAGGAUGGCCCAAGUCCUUGGGCCCUGCAUCUGCAUGGGAGAACAGGAGAAGCACCUGGCUCCUGGCUUCGGAUCAGCACGGUACGCCGGCUGCAGCAGCCAUUGGAGGGUGAACCAACGGCAAAGGAAGACCUUUCUCUCUGUCUCUCUCUCUCACUGUCCACUCUGCCUGUCAAAAUAAUAAUAAUAAUAAUAAACAGUAAGACAAUGCUAUUAUCUAGUCUAUAGAUAUUAUGCAACAUUUGCAAUUGUUUUAAAAAUCUUAUUUAGUAAAAUAAAAAUAAUUUUUGGGGAUCACUUUCACAUGAGCUCCCAUCAUGAGACCAUGUGCUGAGGUCCUUGCCAGAGCUGGUGCUCUGCUGUGUAGACUUCCAGCCUCUAAAACCAUGUACAUAAACCUUCACUGUAAGGUGCCCAGCCUCUAAAACCAUGUACAUAAACCUUCACUGUAAGGUGCCCAGCCUCCAAUAUUUUGUUAUUGAAAUGUAAAAUGGACUAACACAUUCAGUCGUUCUUGGUCCUUCAUGACCUUGACAUUUUUGAAGAGUAUAGGCCGUUGUUCUGUGGGAUGUCCUUUAAUUCAGGUUUAUCUGAUGUUCCUUCACGAGUAGGUUCAGAUUUCACAUCUUUGGCAGAACUGCCAAGAAAGUAAUAUUGUAUCAUGUGUAGUGCACCACAUCAGGAGGCACCUCUGUCAGUCUGCUCCAUCAUUGUAACACUAUUGUUACAAGCUGGAGUCUGCUGCCCAUGGCUUCUGAACAGUUAACUACCUUCCCCUUUGUGACUAGUAUUUUAUGGGCAGAUAUUUUGAAUUUAUGUAAAUUUUUCUAUUUCAUCAAAUUUUCACCCACAAAUUUUAAUAUCCAUUGACAAUUCUUGCUUGAAUUAUGACUAGGAUACUAGGCAAAUCAUGAUUUUCUAACUCUAUCAUUCAUUUUAUUUGUUAAUUGAAAUUCUUUUUUUUAAAGAUUUAUUUAUUUAUUUGAAAGUCAGAGUUACAUAGAGAGAGGAGAGAGAGAGAGAGAGAGCGCGUGCGAGAGAGGUCUUCCAUCUGAUGGUUCACUCCCCAGAUGGCCUCAACGGCCGGAGCUGUGCCGAUGCCAGCCAGGAGCCAGGAGCUUCUUCCAGGUCUCCCAUGUGGGUGCAGAGGACUUGGACCAUCUUCUAUUGCUUUCCUGGGCCACAGCAGAGAGCUGGACAGGAAGCGGAGCAUCUGGGUCUCGAACCGUUGCCCAUAAGGGAUGCUGGCACUUUAGGCCAGGGCAUUAACCCACUGCGCCACCUCUCUGGCUCCUGUUAAUUGAAAUUCUAUUGUGACCGGCACUGCGGCUCACUAGGCUAAUCCUCCGCCUGCAGCGCCAGCGCCCCGGGUUCUGGUCCCGGUCAGGGCACCAGAUUCUGUCCUGGUUGCUCCUCUUCCAGUCCAGCUCUCUGCUGUGGCUUGGGAGUGUAGUGGAGGAUGGCCCAAGUGCUUGGGCCCUGCACCCGCCUGGGAGAUGGGGGGAAGCACCUGGCUCCUGGCUUCAGAUCAGUGCGGUGCGCCAGCCGCGGCAGCCAUUGGGGGGUGAACCAACGGCAAAAAGGAAGACCUUUCUCUCUGUCUCUCUCUUUCACUGUCCACUCUGCCUGUAAAAAAAAAAAAUUCUAUUGUAAGUAAACUGCUUUCUUUCCUCUCUAUGUGUUAAUGUAAGUUUCAUAUUCACACAAACUUGAAAAAUUAUGUUAAAUCAUAACAUGGGGUUAUAAAUCUCUUAAUAUCAUUUAUUUUUAUUUUUAUUUUUUGACAGGCAGAAUGGACAGUGAGAGAGAGAGAGAGAGAGAAAGGUCUUCCUUUUGCCGUUGGUUCACCCUCCAAUGGCCUCCGUGGCCAGUGCACCGCGCUGAUCCGAUGGCAGGAGCCAGGUGCUUCUCCUGGUCUCCCAUGGGGUGCAGGGCCCAAGCACUUGGGCCAUCCUCCACUGCACUCCCUGGCCACAGCAGAGAGCUGGCCUGGAAGAGGGGCAACCGGGACAGAAUCCAGCACCCCGACCGGGACUAGAACCCGGUGUGCCGGGGCCGCAAGGCAGAGGAUUAGCCUAGUAAGCCGCGGCGCUGGCCUCUUAAUAUAAUUUUUAAAAAUUUAUUUAUUUAUUUGAGAAUCAGAUUUACAGAGAGAGAGGGAGAACAGAGAGACAGAGGAAGAGAGAGAGAGGUCUUCCAUCUGCUGGUUUACUACCCAACUGCCAGAGCUGGGCCAGGAGUAAGCCAGGAGCCAGGAGCUCCAUCCUGGUCUCCUACAUAGAGGGCAGGGACCCAAACACUUGGGCUAUUUUUCGCUGCUUUUCCCAGGCCAUUAGGAGGGAGCUGGAUUGGAAGCAGAACAGCUGGGACUCAAAAACAGUGCCCUUGUGAGAUGGGCACUUUGCCUGCUAUACCACAACACCCGCACCUUAAUAUCAUUACUUUUUUUUUUUUUUUAAAGAUCUAUUUACUUAUUUGAAAGGCAGAGUUACAGAGAGGCAGAGGCAGAGACAGAGAGAGAAAGGUCUUCCAUCUGCUGGUUCACUCCCCAAAUGGCUGCAACAGCCGGAGCUGAGCCAAUCCAAAGCCAGGAGCCAGGAGCUUCUUCCUGGCCACGCGGGAACAAGAGCCCAAGGACUUGGGCCAUCUUCUACUGCUUUCCCAGGCCAUAGCAGAGAGCUGGAUUGGAAGUGGAGCAGCCAAGACCUGAACUGGUUCCCAUAUGGGAUGCUGGCACUGCAGGUGGCAGCUUUACCUGCUAUGCCACAAUGCCGGGCCCCUAACAUCAUUACUUUUGGUAUGCAUGUUCUCUCAGAUUGAGCUGCCCCUCAGGAUCUUUUCAUAUGGGUCCAUAUUUUUAAUCGUUCCUUUCUCUCUGACAUAAUAAGGUUUUCCAGGCUCAGACUGAGCUUUCUCAGCUAGUCCUCAAGUCAGCCAUUCUCUCAAGAGCCCUUGUUCCUUUUAGCGAAGAAUGGUCCUGAAUUUACUUUAGCCAAAACCAAAACAGAGCACAGAACUACUCAGUAAAUGUAAUAAAUAUUUAAAUCAUACUCUGACUUCUGCUUCUGGCAGUUAGACAAGAGAGACACAAAGUUCAAUUCACUUAGAUUGUCUAUGGUUUAGAUGUAUGCAAAUAUAUUAAUGAGUCAGAAUAGAGUUGCUAUACAUCUAGGCACUGCAUAUAUCAGACCUCAGAACAUGACAUGGGAGGCAUUACAAUAAAGUAUUCAAUUAAUGGUAUUAAUGGUUUUUAAAUAUUAAAAGUAAUAUCUCACAAUUCAAAAACAUAAUUCUCAAGACUUUAGAAUGAUUAAUGUAGAAAUUUAGAAAAAUAUAUUUAGAAUACAGAAGUUGUGUAGGAUUUCUUCUGUGGUUUAAAAGUCCAUGUCCCUCCAAGAUUCAAAUGCUGGAACUGAAUCCAAAGUGGCAACACCCAAAGGUGAGGUCUUUGGGGGAAGUGAAUUAGUUGGAGGGACAAUGUUGAUGGCUCAAGUAAUUGUGGUCCUUCCACAAUGUUGGAGAGCUGGACUGAGUUCCUGGCUCCCAGCUGCAGCCCUGUCUAAUUGCAGCUGUCACAGGCAUUACUCUAUGUCUCUCUGCUUCUCAAAAAAUUUUUAAAAAUUUUUAAUGAGAUACAUAGAAAACAAAAAGCAAAAUGGCAAAAAUAAAUCCAACUAAAUGAAUAAUAAAUAAUAUGGUAAAUGUGGAUGAGCUUAACACUCCCAUCAAAAAGCAGAGAUGGUCCAAAUGGAUCUUUCAAAAAGAAACUCAAUACUAUGUGCCAGCUAUAGGUGCAGUUUAGGCAGGGAAGCUGCUGUUUUUUGCUGCUGGGCCAAUCUGGUAAAAGCGUAAUCUUGUCUGUGUGGCCGGCUUGGGUGGUCACGGGGAGGGGAGACAGGAUAGCGGCAAUACCAGGCGAGAACGCCUAGAACUCUGCUGUUACUACCCAAAGCUCCAGCAGCUUCUCCCAGAUAAAUACUUCUGCAUUUCUCGUCUACUUUUGGUUUAUGUACAGUGCCCUGAAAUGUUGUGUUUUUACAAUUUUGUUCAGUUGUGCUUUUUAGUAGGGGAAAGAUGUCAACCUUUAUACGCCAUUACAAGAAGUCCCUUUGCUGAAUUGAUGUUUUCUCUUCUCUAAUCUGUUGGUUUCAAUGUUACAGAUUCUGUUUUCUGUCCUUUCAAUCAUGUCUUUUAAUGUUGAACAUUUAUGUAUAGCUACACAUUUUUCUUACAAAGUCUCAGGCUAUUCCAUUUCUGCCUUUAGACUCCUCUUGAACAAAAUAUGGAUCUUGUUUUGGCUGCUUAUUCUUGCUGUUAGUGCUGUCUUGAAUUUUAGUUACAUGUCUUUAUUAUAAAGUGCUUUUUUUUUUUUUUGACAGGCAGAGUUAGACAGUGAGAGAGAGAGACAGAGAGAAAGGUCUUCCUUUUCCAUUGGUUCACCCCCAAAUGGCCGCUACGGCCAGCACGCUGCGCCGAUCCGAAGGCAGGAACCAGGUGUUUCUCCUGGUCUCCUGGCGGGUGCAGGGCCCAAGUACUUGGGCCAUCCUCCACUGCCUUCCCAGGCCACAGCAGAGAGCUGGACUGGAAGAGAAGCAACUGGGACAGAAUCCGGCACCCCAACCGGGACUAGAACCUGGUGUGCCGCUGCCACAGGCGGAGGAUUAGCCUAGUGAGCCAAGGCGCUGGCCCAAAAUGUGUUUUUUUUUUUAAAUGUUUUGUUAUUUAGAUUCACUAGGAUCUUUCUUUGACUUAUUUCUUUAAAAAUUAUUUAUUUAUUAGAGAGAGAGAGAGAGAGAGAGAGAGAUAUCUUCCAUCUGCUGGUUCACUCCCCAGAUGGCCAAAAUGGCUAGGGCUGUGUCAGGCUACAGCCAGAACCUUCAUCAGGACCUCCCAUGUAGGUGGCAGAGGCCCGUACACUUGGGCCAUCGCUUUUCCCAGAUCAUUAACAGGGAGUUGGAUCAGGAGUGGAGUAGCUAGGACACAAACCAGCUCCCAUAUGGGAUGCCAGCCAGGUGGUGGUUUUACCCACUGUGCCACAAUGCUGGCCCCCUAUUUUAUUUUCCUUUCUCUUCUUUUUUUCUUUUCCUUCCUUCCUUCCUUUAUUUUUUUUAAGAUUUAUUUAUUUACUUGAAGGGCAGAGUUACAGAGAGAGAGAGAGACCUUCCAUCCACUGAUUCAUUCCUCAAAUGGCUGCAAUGGCCAGAGAUGGGCUAAUCUGAAACCAUGAGCCAGGAGCUCCUUCUGGGUCUCCCACAUGAGUGCAGGGGCCCAGGCAUUUUCCCAGGACAUUAGCAGGGAGCUGGAUUGGAAGUGCAGCAGCCAAGACUCAAACUGGUGCCCAUAUGGGAUGCUGGCACCACAGGUAUGCCACAGCGCCAGCCCCUGACUUUAUUUUCUAUAUCACACUUGUUCUAGUAGUGGUAUUUGAAAAUAUUCAAAAUUUGGUCACUGAGUCAAUAGAUAUCUUAGGACCAGUCAGCAUGAAUUUAUCUUUAAGUAUUUAUUUAUUUAUUUGAAAGGCAGAGCAUCAGAGAGGGGGGAGAGACAGAGAUCUUGCAUUUAUUGGUUCCCGUUCCAAAUGGUCACAAUGGCUGGGGCUGGGCCAGGGUGAAGCCAGGAGCCAGGAACUCCAUCCUGGUCUCCCAUAUGCAUGGCAGGGGGUCAAGUACUUGGGCCAUUUUUAGUUGUCUUCCCAGAUGCAUUUGAAGGAGACUAGAUUGGAAGUGGAAUAGCUGGGCUUCCAACCAGCGCUCUGAUACGUGCUGUGAGUGUCACAAUGGUGGCUUCACCUGCUGCACUGUAACGCCAGCCCCAGUGUGACUUUCUCUUUGCAGUAUAUGCUACGAGCUCUGGUACUGCCAGUGAUUUCCGCCUCUUUAACCUCUUCCAGUGGGGCAGCUGAAAUGAUUAACCUCCAGACUCACACAAUGUGCUAGCUGCCGUUCCACAAUGGAUGGCCUGUUGAUGUCUUCAGCUAACUUUUUUUUUUUUUUUAAGAUUUAUUUUAUUUAUUUGAAAGACAGAGUUACACAGAGUGAAGGAGAGGCAGAGAGAGAGAGAGAGAGGUCUUCUAUCCACUGGUUCACUCCCCAAUUGGCCACAUGGGCAGGAUCCAAGAGCUCCUUCUGGGUCUCCCACGUGGGUGCAGGGGCCCAAGGACUUGGGCCAUUUUCCACUGCUUUCCCAGGCCAUACCAGAGAGCUAGAUCAGAAGUGGAGCAGCUGGGACUAGAACUGGAGCCCAUAUGGGAUGCCGGCACUGCAGGCGGCAGCUUUACCCACUGCACCACAGUGCUGGCCCCCAAACAUGAUAGUAUUAACAGGUGGAGGCGGCAGGAUGGGAAUAGAUCCUGAGAGUGCUGAUGAAUGGGAAUAAUGCUCUUACAAAACUGGCUGGAGAGAGCAUGUCUGCCCCUCCCACCAUGUGAGGCCCCAGCAAGAAGCUGCUGCCUUUAAAGUCAAGGGUUCUUGCCACUCUCUGAAUCUGCAGGUGCCUUGAGCUUGGCCUUCUCAGCUGCCAGAACUGUGAGGAAUAAACUUUAUAUGUUUUUAAAAUUUGAGAGGCAGAGAGGAUGGUCCAAGUCCUUGGGCCCUGAACCCCAUGGGAGACCAGGAAAAGCACCUGGCUCCUGGCUCCUGCCAUCGGAUCAGUGCGGUGCGCUGGCCGCAGCGCGCCGGCUGCAGCGGCCAUUGGAGGGUGAACCAACGGCAAAGGAAGACCUUUCUCUCUGUCUCUCUCUCUCACUGUCCACUCUGCCUGUCAAAAAAAAAAAAAAAAAAUUUGAGAGGCAGAGAAAGUGAAGGAGAGAGAGAAAGAGAGAGAGAGAACCAGAGGCAGAUAGAGUUCCCAUAUAUUGCCUCACUCCAAAAAUUCUGGUAAUGGCCAGGGCUGGGCUGGGACUGAAGUCAGGAAUGGGAACUCAAUCCAGGUCUUCCACGAGGAUGGCAAGGACCUAAUCAUGUGAGUCAUCGCCAUAGCCUCCCAGGGUCUGCAUUAGCAGGAAACUGGAGUCAGGAGCUGGAACUGAGUACUGAACCCAGGUGCUCUAAUGUGAGAUGGUGGUGUCUUAACCAACAGGCUAAAAACCCAUUCCAGAAAGAAAUGAUUUGUUGUUCAUAAUUCAUCCAGUCUAAGAUAUUUUGUUUGAGCAGCUCAAAUGGACUAAAAGGUAUUUUUGUUUGUUCUCGUUUUGAGAGUGACUAUACCUUUAUCAUUAAAAAAAAAAAAAAGGCUUCUUUUGUUCGUUGUCACUCGUUUGAAGCCGAGGAGGGCGUAAGGACUGGGAUCACAGCACCCUUGCUGCCCCUUGCUCUAGCCUAACCUGGCAGUUUGGGGAGAGCUGGGGACAGAGUUCCUUCAAUGCAGUGCGGAUGGUGAUGACUGCUGACAGUGGCAAAGAGCUUGGCUUUUCCAGACCUAGAAGGAACUCCUCAGUGACUCAGUUCCUGGAGCGUGUGUUCCAGGUAAUGUUCUAGGUACAGUGGUAAUGGGGUGUUAUUACUGGGUGGUUCUUCACGUUAUCUGAGGCUCCAAGAGAACAGAUGCCCACAUUCUAUGGCGGCAGGCCCCCUUGAAGAAUUUGCAAGGGUUCAGGCGGCACAGUGGGUUAAACUGUUGCCUGUAACACCACCAUCCCGUAUAAGCACCAGUUUAAGUCCUUGCUGCUCCUCUUUUAAUUUAGCUCCCUCUUAAUGCACCUGGGAAAGCAGCAGAUGAUGGCCCAAGUGCUUGGGCCCCUGCCACCCAUCCGGAAGACCUGGAUGGAGUUCUAAGCUUCUGGCUUCCACCAUCAUGGCCAUUUAGGGAGUGAACCAGUGGAUGGAAGGCCUCUCUAUCUCUGUCUCUCUGUGUGUCUGUCUGUAAUUCUGUCUUUCAGACAAAUAGAUAGUCUUUUUAAAAAAUUCUGCAAAGGUGUCAGAGAAUUGGUUUAGCAGCUUUAAGCUUACCACAUCCCUUAAGCCUAUAAAACAGGCUGAAGAGACCAUGGUUAAAGAUGGGAAGAGGAUUUAUUGUCUUGAAUUUGUCUACUGCUGUGCAUCAGAAGAUGAGCUCCCUGGGAGCAGGAAUCUUUAUGCUUUCUGACUGUUAGGGAUGAGUAACUGUGCAGAUAUUAGAGAAAUUUGUCUGUGGCUAUGAGUUUCGGGAGGAAGAAUGAGAGUUGCCUCCCCUCAAGUCUCAGGAAAGGUACCUUAAUCAGGUCACACAGAAAACCAAACCAGCUUUCUUCUUACGCUGAAAGAUGAAGGGGAAGCCUGCCAGCUGCUCGCUUUGAGGUUGGGAUAACGAGAGGGGCAUUGUUGGGAUGGAGUUCAUUCAUUAGGGAGAAGAUGAAUGUUCUCAGUGGACACAUGAGAACGAGAGCCAGAGCUGAGUCAUUCCAGAGGUGCCCGAGAGGUCUGGAGGGAAGAGGUGAGCUGUAUUAGUCUGCUUUAUGUUACCGUAAUGAAAUACUGGAGGCUGGGUAGCUUUAUAAAGAAAAGAGGUUCAUUUAGCUCACAGUUACGGAGGUGCAAGGUCAGAUGUUGACAUCAGUUCAGUUCUGAUGAGGAUCUCAUGGUGUGGUACCACAAUGGCAGGAGUGCCUGCGGAAGGGCAGAAUCCAGACCAGAAGCCAGAAGCCUGGGGAGUAGCCAGGUUUUAUUUUAUUAUUUUUUUCUAAAUAGCAACGCUUCUGUGAGGACAACCUCAGGGGUCCCAGGAGGGCUAUCAUAAUCCCACAGAAGGCAUGUCUGCAGUGCCCCAGGACUCCCACAGCCUUCUAAUGAUUCCACACCACUCUCACUCCCUAAUACUGCAUCCUGGAGGCCAAGCUUACAACUCAUGAGCCCUUGAGGAACAAAAUACAUCUGAAGAUAGCAUGACCCAACAUAGAAAUGAGCCUCAAGACUCUCACGGGCUAAGGAAGCAAUGGUAGGUGACCAAAACACAGACAGUACAGUUUUUGUCUUGUUUUGCAAUAAUAUUUA
Molecule: long non-coding RNA, 21115 nt
Organism: Oryctolagus cuniculus (rabbit)
Lineage: Eukaryota; Metazoa; Chordata; Mammalia; Lagomorpha; Leporidae
Source: RefSeq, a predicted model, not a curated record